UCCUGGUGGCUCAGUGGUAAAGAAGCUGCUUGCAAUUCAGGAGACCCAGGUUCAAUCCCUGGCUCAGGAA
Molecule: transfer RNA, 70 nt
Filed under: Bos taurus (domestic cattle)
Lineage: Eukaryota; Metazoa; Chordata; Mammalia; Artiodactyla; Bovidae
Also listed under: 1 other name
Rfam family: tRNA
About the family: Transfer RNA (tRNA) molecules are approximately 80 nucleotides in length. Their secondary structure includes four short double-helical elements and three loops (D, anti-codon, and T loops).
Source: Rfam by way of RNAcentral